This 478-nucleotide ribosomal RNA is filed under the name uncultured bacterium. RNAcentral's name for it is "bacterial SSU rRNA". It matches the Rfam family "Bacterial small subunit ribosomal RNA", at positions 365 to 833 of the family's 1533-position model. The record is from RNAcentral.
UUCGCAAUGCCCGAAAGGGUGACGAAGCGACGCCGCGUGCGGGAAGAAGGCCCUCGGGUUGUAAACCGCUGUCAGGAGUUAAGAAAUAUAGAGAUGUUAAUAGCGUCUCUAUUUGACGAAGGCUCCAGAGGAAGCCACGGCUAACUCUGUGCCAGCAGCCGCGGUAAUACAGAGGUGGCAAGCGUUGUUCGGAAUUAUUGGGCGUAAAGAGCACGUAGGCGGCCCUGCAAGUCAGUUGUGAAAGCCUUCCGCUCAACGGAAGAAUGGCAGCUGAUACUACAGGGCUAGAGUACGGGAGGGGAGAGUGGAACUUCUGGUGGAGCGGUGAAAUGCGUAGAUAUCAGAAGGAACGCCGGCGGCGAAAGCGACUCUCUGGACCGAAACUGACGCUGAGUGUGCGAAAGCUAGGGGAGCAAACGGGAUUAGAUACCCCGGUAGUCCUAGCCGUAAACGAUGGGCACUAAGUAGAGGGGUUUUA